GUGGGGAAUCUUCCGCAAUGGGCGAAAGCCUGACGGAGCAACGCCGCGUGAGUGAAGAAGGCCUUCGGGUCGUAAAGCUCUGUCUUUAGGGACGAACCGCGUAUGGAGUAAUAUGCCAUACGUCUGACGGUACCUAAGGAGGAAGCUCCGGCUAACUACGUGCCAGCAGCCGCGGUAAUACGUAGGGAGCGAGCGUUGUCCGGAAUUACUGGGCGUAAAGGGCGCGUAGGCGGAGGUUUAAGUAGGGUGUGAAAACUAUGGGCUCAACCGAUAGACUGCAUCCUAAACUGGGCCUCUUGAGGGCAGGAGAGGAAAGUGGAAUUCCUAGUGUAGCGGUGAAAUGCGUAGAUAUUAGGAGGAACACCAGUGGCGAAGGCGACUUUCUGGACUGUACCUGACGCUGAGGCGCGAAAGCGUGGGGAGCGAACAGGAUUAGAUACCCCUGUAGUCC
RNAcentral lists this ribosomal RNA (451 nucleotides) under uncultured bacterium. RNAcentral describes it as "partial 16S ribosomal RNA". It matches the Rfam family "Bacterial small subunit ribosomal RNA", at positions 354 to 796 of the family's 1533-position model. The record is from RNAcentral.